Non-coding RNA from Dipodomys ordii (Ord's kangaroo rat), 73 nucleotides. NCBI's taxonomy places the organism in Eukaryota, Metazoa, Chordata, Mammalia, Rodentia, Heteromyidae. The record is from Rfam.
GGGGAUGUAGCUUAGUGGGAGAGUGCUUGCCUAGCAUGCAUGAAGCCCUGGGUUCGAUUCCUCAGUACCACCU